This 459-nucleotide ribosomal RNA is filed under the name uncultured bacterium. RNAcentral describes it as "partial 16S ribosomal RNA". It matches the Rfam family "Bacterial small subunit ribosomal RNA", at positions 338 to 795 of the family's 1533-position model. The record is from RNAcentral.
CCUACGGGCGGCAGCAGUGAGGAAUAUUGGUCAAUGGCCGGAAGGCUGAACCAGCCAAGCCGCGUGAAGGACGAAGGUGCCAAGCAUUGUAAACUUCUUUUGUCAAGGGACAAAAUCAGGCUCGAGAGCCUGACCGAGGGGACUUGAAGAAAAAGCAUCGUCUAACUCCGUGCCAGCAGCCGCGGUAAUACGGGGGAUGCGAGCAUGAUCCUGGUUUAUUGGGUUUAAAGGGUUCGUAGGCGGUCUGUUAAGUCAUCGGUAACAGCCAGGGGCUCAACCCCGGCGAGCCGGUGAAACUGGCUGUCGUGAGAUGUCGAGAGGUAUGCGGAAUGCGCAGUGUAGCGGGGAAAUGCUUAGAUAUUGCGCAGAACUCAGAUUGCGAAGGCAGCAUACCGGCGGCGAUCUGACGCUGAGGCACGAACGCGUGGGUAUCGAACAGGAUUAGAUACCCGAGUAGUC